Molecule: transfer RNA, 73 nt
Filed under: Trichonephila inaurata madagascariensis
Lineage: Eukaryota; Metazoa; Arthropoda; Arachnida; Araneae; Nephilidae
Rfam family: tRNA
About the family: Transfer RNA (tRNA) molecules are approximately 80 nucleotides in length. Their secondary structure includes four short double-helical elements and three loops (D, anti-codon, and T loops).
Source: Rfam by way of RNAcentral
GGGAGCGUGGCUCAGAUGGUAGAGCGUUCGCUUAGCAUGCGAGAGGUACGGGGAUCGAUACCCAUCGUCUCCA